Molecule: ribosomal RNA, 585 nt
Filed under: uncultured bacterium
Lineage: Bacteria
Description: partial 16S ribosomal RNA
Rfam family: Bacterial small subunit ribosomal RNA
Source: RNAcentral
UGGGGAAUUUUGGACAAUGGGCGAAAGCCUGAUCCAGCAAUGCCGCGUGUGUGAAGAAGGCCUUCGGGUUGUAAAGCACUUUUGUCCGGAAAGAAAUCCUUGGCUCUAAUACAGUCGGGGGAUGACGGUACCGGAAGAAUAAGCACCGGCUAACUACGUGCCAGCAGCCGCGGUAAUACGUAGGGUGCAAGCGUUAAUCGGAAUUACUGGGCGUAAAGCGUGCGCAGGCGGUUUGCUAAGACCGAUGUGAAAUCCCCGGGCUCAACCUGGGAACUGCAUUGGUGACUGGCAGGCUAGAGUAUGGCAGAGGGGGGUAGAAUUCCACGUGUAGCAGUGAAAUGCGUAGAGAUGUGGAGGAAUACCGGUGGCGAAGGCAGCCCCCUGGGCCAAUACUGACGCUCAUGCACGAAAGCGUGGGGAGCAAACAGGAUUAGAUACCCUGGUAGUCCACGCCCUAAACGAUGUCAACUAGUUGUUGGGGAUUCAUUUCCUUAGUAACGUAGCUAACGCGUGAAGUUGACCGCCUGGGGAGUACGGUCGCAAGAUUAAAACUCAAAUGAAUUGACGGGGUCAUAGCUGUUUCCU